AGCGAACGCUGGCGGCAGGCCUAAAACAUGCAAGUCGAACGCCGUAGCAAUACGGAGUGGCAGACGGGUGAGUAACACGUGGGAACGUGCCCUUUGGUUCGGAACAACACAGGGAAACUUGUGCUAAUACCGGAUAAGCCCUUACGGGGAAAGAUUUAUCGCCAAAGGAUCGGCCCGCGUCUGAUUAGCUAGUUGGUGGGUAACGGCCCACCAAGGCUACGAUCAGUAGCUGGUCUGAGAGGAUGAUCAGCCACACUGGGACUGAGACACGGCCCAGACUCCUACGGGAGGCAGCAGUUAGGAAUCUUGGACAAUGGGCGCAAGCCUGAUCCAGCCAUGCCGCGUGAGUGAUGAAGGCCUUAGGGUUGUAAAGCUCUUUCAGCGGGGAAGAUAAUGACGGUACCCGCAGAAGAAGCCCCGGCUAACUUCGUGUCAGCCGCCGCCGUAAG
This 449-nucleotide ribosomal RNA is filed under the name uncultured bacterium. RNAcentral's name for it is "bacterial SSU rRNA". It matches the Rfam family "Bacterial small subunit ribosomal RNA", at positions 29 to 524 of the family's 1533-position model. The record is from RNAcentral.